UCCCUCUUACACCCAUUAUUGAUACCUGCAUCAUUCUUCACGUAAAUCCAGAUGGUUUUCUGUGACAAAUCCGUUUUAGGCCAUGCCAAAUGGACCACUAUGAGAUCACACUAGAGUUGAUAUGGAAAAGCGGCUCUGAGUGAGCGAGCUGGAAGAGAGGCAUUUGUCCCAGACAGAUGAAGAAGGGCAGGGCAGAAGGGGCACAGACACACGAGUCCCCUGUUCCCAGAGGAAAUUGCAAUGAGCCCAGACAGCUGAGAAAGCUCAGUGGGGAAGAAGCCGCUGAGCUCGCCAAUGGGCAGCACGGGGUGUGCAGCAGAGCUGGCGAUUGCAGCUGCGGAGGUGAGGAGUGCAGUGCGAGCUGAGCGGGAAGAGCCCCUUGCCAUGGCUGAGGCCGCAGAGGCACGGAAUGCUCCGAAUGCCAGUGGCUGAGGGAGCCACGGCGGCUGCUGCUGGACGAGCGAGAAACGCAGCAGGAGCAUUUCAGGCACGGCAAGGACAGGCCAUUGCUCUGCCUGCUGCCGCUGCUGCUCCCGCUGCUCCCGCACACAGUCGUUUCCGGCACCUCUGUUCUCUCGCCGCUGCGACGUGCUUUCUGCCUCUUCCUCACUCAGCAAACACGCAGCUUGCUCUCGCCAUGCACCUCGCACAUCUCAUCCUCACCGUCUUCCUGGCACAGCUCCUCGGCACCACGGGGCAGAUCACGGUCACCCAGGAAGAUGCACAAGUCACAGUGAAGCAGGGACAUCCCUUCCACACCACCUGCAAAUACCAGACAAGUAUUACUGCCUUGCACUGGUACCAGAUGCGGAAAGGCCAAGCCCCCCAGCUGGUCUCCUAUCAAUCAGGGACUGGCCCCAGGCACAGCGGCCGGAUCACCACGCACCUGAACACCACGGGCAAAUACAGUGUCCUGAAGGUGGAGGAAGUGCAGGUGUCUGACAGUGCCUUGUACCUGUGUGCUGUGCAAGACACCCUGGUGCAGGGAGCUUGCUCGGCUGUGUAACAACCCAGGGGAGCGAGGGGAUGUGUCAGUGC
Molecule: non-coding RNA, 1038 nt
Organism: Catharus ustulatus (Swainson's thrush)
Lineage: Eukaryota; Metazoa; Chordata; Aves; Passeriformes; Turdidae
Source: the annotation of a RefSeq genome assembly